UUCCCACCGCAAGGGUAAGACCCCAGAAAGACUAUCUGGUUGAUAGGUCGAAGGUGUAAGUGCAGCAAUGUAUUUAGCUUAUCGAUACUAAUAGGUCGAUGACUUGACCAAAAUUUAUU
RNAcentral lists this ribosomal RNA (119 nucleotides) under Clostridioides difficile. Its description in RNAcentral is "partial 23S ribosomal RNA". It matches the Rfam family "Bacterial large subunit ribosomal RNA", at positions 2811 to 2925 of the family's 2925-position model. The record is from RNAcentral. Lineage: Bacteria; Bacillati; Bacillota; Clostridia; Peptostreptococcales; Peptostreptococcaceae.